RNAcentral lists this unclassified non-coding RNA (258 nucleotides) under Hevea brasiliensis (rubber tree). Lineage: Eukaryota; Viridiplantae; Streptophyta; Magnoliopsida; Malpighiales; Euphorbiaceae. The record is from RNAcentral.
UGCUAUUUGUGCAACUGUCUGCAAGUGUUGCCGUGUUUUCUCUCCCAAAGCUCAACGAUUAUGUCAAGAACAAUUCUGGUCCACUGAAGCCUGCUAUCCAGACUAUUGAGUCUACGGUUAAGACCGUGGUUACACCUAUCUAUCCUACGUUUGAGGAUGUUUUCAAUAAGGUUCUCAAGUUUGCAGACANNNNNNNUGCAGCUGUCACUGUUCUUAAUCCCUAUAUUCCCACAGCUGUCAAGAAUCUGUAUACCCACG